RNAcentral lists this ribosomal RNA (492 nucleotides) under uncultured bacterium. RNAcentral describes it as "partial 16S ribosomal RNA". It matches the Rfam family "Bacterial small subunit ribosomal RNA", at positions 36 to 507 of the family's 1533-position model. The record is from RNAcentral.
CUUUCCCUCUUUCUUUAGGCCUAACACAUGCAAGUCGAACGGCAGCACAGUAAGAGCUUGCUCUUACGGGUGGCGAGUGGCGGACGGGUGAGGAAUACAUCGGAAUCUACUUUUUCGUGGGGGAUAACGUAGGGAAACUUACGCUAAUACCGCAUACGACCUACGGGUGAAAGCAGGGGAUCUUCGGACCUUGCGCGAUUGAAUGAGCCGAUGUCGGAUUAGCUAGUUGGCGGGGUAAAGGCCCACCAAGGCGACGAUCCGUAGCUGGUCUGAGAGGAUGAUCAGCCACACUGGAACUGAGACACGGUCCAGACUCCUACGGGAGGCAGCAGUGGGGAAUAUUGGACAAUGGGGGCAAGCCUGAUCCAGCCAUACCGCGUGGGUGAAGAAGGCCUUCGGGUUGUAAAGCCCUUUUGUUGGGAAAGAAAAGCAGCAGGUUAAUACCCCGCUGUUCUGACGGUACCCAAAGAAUAAGCACCGGCUAACUUCGUG